UUUAAAACUUUGUUGACGUUGCAUACAUGUGGAUAGCAUGUCAAUAUUUACUUAAUUUUUAAAAUUUUAAAAUUAAAAAAAUUAUAAAAACUUUUUAAAAAUUAAAAAACAUUAAAAUUUUAAAAAAUAUAUUUUAAAAAUUUUAAAAAGUAAAUUAAAUUUUGACAUGUCAUCUAGGUGGCAAUCCAUGUAUAUGCCACGUCAGCAAAGUAAACGA
This 217-nucleotide microRNA precursor is filed under the name Gossypium raimondii (Peruvian cotton). Its description in RNAcentral is "miR8761 stem-loop (gra-MIR8761)". Lineage: Eukaryota; Viridiplantae; Streptophyta; Magnoliopsida; Malvales; Malvaceae. The record is from miRBase by way of RNAcentral.